Hippopotamus amphibius kiboko is the source of this 103-nucleotide small nuclear RNA. The record is from RefSeq and is a predicted model, not a curated record. Lineage: Eukaryota; Metazoa; Chordata; Mammalia; Artiodactyla; Hippopotamidae.
UUGUUUCAGCAAUACAUGUAAUAAAAUUGGAAAGAUACAGAGAAGAGCAGCAUGGCCCCUGCGCAAGGAUGACAGGCAAAUUCAUGAAGCAUUCCAUAUUAAA